AGCGAACGCUGGCGGCAGGCCUAACACAUGCAAGUCGAGCGGGCACCUUCGGGUGUCAGCGGCAGACGGGUGAGUAACACGUGGGAACGUGCCUUUCGGUUCGGAACAACCCAGGGAAACUUGGGCUAAUACCGGAUAUGCCCUUCGGGGGAAAGAUUUAUCGCCGAAAGAUCGGCCCGCGUCUGAUUAGCUAGUUGGUGGGGUAAUGGCCCACCAAGGCGACGAUCAGUAGCUGGUCUGAGAGGAUGAUCAGCCACACUGGGACUGAGACACGGCC
Molecule: ribosomal RNA, 277 nt
Filed under: uncultured bacterium
Lineage: Bacteria
Description: partial 16S ribosomal RNA
Rfam family: Bacterial small subunit ribosomal RNA
Source: RNAcentral